AUUGAACGCUGGCGGCAGGCCUAACACAUGCAAGUCGAACGGUAACAGGAAGAAGCUUGCUUCUUUGCUGACGAGUGGCGGACGGGUGAGUAAUGUCUGGGAAACUGCCUGAUGUAGGGGGGUAACUACUGGAAACGGUAGCUAAUACCGCAUAACGUCGCAAGACCAAAGAGGGGGACCUUCUGGCCUCUUGCCAUCGGAUGUGCCCAGAUGGGAUUAGCUAGUAGGUGGGGUAACGGCCCACCUAGGCGACGAUCCCUAUCUGGUCUGAGAGGAUGACCAGCCACACUGGAACUGAGACACGGUCCAGACUUCUACGGGAGGCAGCAGUGGGGAAUAUUGCACAAUGGGCGCAAGCCUGAUGCAGCCAUGCCGCGUGUAUGAAGAAGGCCUUCGGGUUGUAAAGUACUUUCAGCGGGGAGGAAGGGAGUAAAGUUAAUACCUUUGCUCAUUGACGUUACCCGAAGAAGAAGCACCGGCUAACUCCGUG
RNAcentral lists this ribosomal RNA (490 nucleotides) under uncultured bacterium. RNAcentral describes it as "partial 16S ribosomal RNA". It matches the Rfam family "Bacterial small subunit ribosomal RNA", at positions 30 to 507 of the family's 1533-position model. The record is from RNAcentral.